This 73-nucleotide transfer RNA is filed under the name Myoviridae sp. ctiX384. RNAcentral's name for it is "tRNA-Met". It matches the Rfam family "tRNA". Rfam says of the family: Transfer RNA (tRNA) molecules are approximately 80 nucleotides in length. Their secondary structure includes four short double-helical elements and three loops (D, anti-codon, and T loops). Further hydrogen bonds mediate the characteristic L-shaped molecular structure. tRNAs have two regions of fundamental functional importance: the anti-codon, which is responsible for specific mRNA codon recognition, and the 3' end, to which the tRNAs corresponding amino acid is attached (by aminoacyl-tRNA synthetases). tRNAs cope with the degeneracy of the genetic code in two manners: having more than one tRNA (with a specific anti-codon) for a particular amino acid; and 'wobble' base-pairing, i.e. permitting non-standard base-pairing at the 3rd anti-codon position. Lineage: Duplodnaviria; Heunggongvirae; Uroviricota; Caudoviricetes. The record is from RNAcentral.
CAUGGUGUGGAGCAGAUGGUAGCUCGCCACGCUCAUAACGUGGAGGUCGUAGGUUCGAGUCCUACCACCGUAA